This 253-nucleotide ribosomal RNA is filed under the name uncultured bacterium. RNAcentral's name for it is "partial 16S ribosomal RNA". It matches the Rfam family "Bacterial small subunit ribosomal RNA", at positions 524 to 776 of the family's 1533-position model. The record is from RNAcentral.
GACGAAGGGGGCUAGCGUUGUUCGGAAUUACUGGGCGUAAAGGGCGCGUAGGCGGUUUGCUAAGUUGGAUGUGAAAACUCUGGGCUUAACCCAGAGCCUGCAUCCAAAACUGGCAAACUUGAGUACUGGAGGGGAAAGCGGAAUUCCUGGUGUAGCGGUGAAAUGCGUAGAUAUCAGGAGGAACACCGGUGGCGAAGGCGGCUUUCUGGACAGUAACUGACGCUGAGGCGCGAAAGCUAGGGGAGCAAACAGG